This 257-nucleotide ribosomal RNA is filed under the name uncultured bacterium. Its description in RNAcentral is "partial 16S ribosomal RNA". It matches the Rfam family "Bacterial small subunit ribosomal RNA", at positions 793 to 1055 of the family's 1533-position model. The record is from RNAcentral.
GUCCACGCUGUAAACUAUGAUUACUCGAUGUUUGCGAUAUACAGUAAGCGUCUAAAGCGAAAGCGAUAAGUAAUCCACCUGGGGAGUACGCUCGCAAGAGUGAAACUCAAAGGAUUGACGGGGGCCGCACAAGCGGAGGAGUAUGUGGUUUAAUUCGAUGAUACGCGAGGAACCUUACCUGGGCUUGAAAGUUAGUGACCGGCUCUGAAAGGAGCUUUUCCGCAAGGACACGAAACUAGGUGCUGCAUGGCUGUCGU